CCCUUAGAUGUUCUGGGCCGCACGCGCGCUACACUGAUGCAAUCAACGAGUUUCUUCCUGGUCCGAGAGGAAUGGGUAACCUUUUGAAAGUGCAUCGUGAUAGGGAUAGACUAUUGCAAUUAUUGGUCUUCAACGAGGAAUUCCUAGUAGACGUAGUUCAUCAGACUGCAUCGAUUACGUCCCUGCCCUUUGUACACACCGCCCGUCGCUCCUACCGAUUGAAUGCUCAGGUGAGCCAUUCGGACUUUCAUCAUGCUGGUUUCCAGUUUUGAUGAAGGAAAGUCUUGCGAACCUUAUCAUUUAGAGGAAGGAGAAGUCGUAACA
This 324-nucleotide ribosomal RNA is filed under the name uncultured eukaryote. RNAcentral's name for it is "partial 18S ribosomal RNA". It matches the Rfam family "Eukaryotic small subunit ribosomal RNA", at positions 1470 to 1796 of the family's 1831-position model. The record is from RNAcentral.